This 211-nucleotide ribosomal RNA is filed under the name uncultured bacterium. Its description in RNAcentral is "partial 16S ribosomal RNA". It matches the Rfam family "Bacterial small subunit ribosomal RNA", at positions 1289 to 1500 of the family's 1533-position model. The record is from RNAcentral.
CAGUUCAGACUGCAGGCUGCAACUCGCCUGCACGAAGUCGGAAUUGCUAGUAAUCGUAGGUCAGCAUACUACGGUGAAUACGUUCCCGGGCCUUGUACACACCGCCCGUCACACCAUGAGAGUUGGAGAUACCCGAAGCCUAUGAGCUAACUUUUAGAGGCAGUAGUCGAAGGUAGAAUCAAUGAUUGGGGUGAAGUCGUAACAAGGUAUC